Solea solea (common sole) is the source of this 2348-nucleotide long non-coding RNA. RefSeq lists it as uncharacterized. NCBI's taxonomy places the organism in Eukaryota, Metazoa, Chordata, Actinopteri, Pleuronectiformes, Soleidae. The transcript is spliced from 2 exons. The record is from RefSeq and is a predicted model, not a curated record.
UGAGACACGUUACUUCAGUGUGAGUUUUAAAGCUGCAGCAGCUCCAGCAGCUCCAGCAGCACUUACUGUAACUAUAGUCUCACAGCGGACAGAUCCUUGAGGUCAACAAGCAGCUGAUUCACUUCACCAGGAAAACCAAGUGAGCGGCGAGUGGAGAAGAUGAGAAGAGGAAUCCACCAUCAGUGCAGGGAUGAAGCAGCACCUGCAGCAGGAGACGCCACAGGUAUGAUCACAGAGACUUUGUCUCCUUUAAAUGUCCUCAAAGUCACGUUGUUUUCAGGGAGAAAUAACUGGAGAGGUCAGGACACGUCACAAUGUCACUCAGGACACGUCACGAUGUCACGUAAUCCUGCACAUCUAGUCUCAGCCAUUACAGACGUGUAUUAGUUUUUACCAAAUCAUCAACACACAAUAGCUCAAGACACGACACAGACGUGUGUUUGCAGAGGUGAGACAUGUCCACUCAUGUCCACUCAUGUCCACUCAUGUCCACUCAUGACAGAAGAAAUGUGCACUCUGACCUCUGCUACAGUCCAGGUGUAUAGAGCAGCUCGUGUUUGAAGUCGCACACACGUUAUCAUCUAAAACACUAACUGUUUCUUUUCAGCAUCUUUCAGAACUGAGAAGUGACGUCAGACACAGACUGUAACUACGUCCUUGUUGUGUUGAGUAGCGAGUUUGAAAUCAUGUUAUUAUCAUGUUAAAUCCACAGUAUAACCACAAAAACAGGGAAGGAAUAUGUAACAAGAACAGAAGCGUCAAAUACUGACUCUCCACCCAAUUUAAGGACUAACACACGUAAUCAUAAACAUCUUCUAUCACCGUUUGUGUUUCCUGGGCUACGUUUGAUUAUGAACUGCAGAAUUGAAUCUGUAAAUGUUAGGUGAAGGCUAGAGAAAAUACCCAACUAGUUUAUUUUAUUAGAAAAAAACCUAUGGCCCAUCUGUGGCUUGUGGGACUGGUUUAAAGGGUCGUAAUGUGGUUAAGAGGGUGAAUUAGAAAAAAAACAUAUAACUGUAUGCAGUGCAUGAAAAUCUAAGACAUGCAUUAUUAAAACAACAACAUGUAUCAUAUACAUAUCACAUAUUAUAAACAUGUCAUAUACAUGUCAUAUACAUAUUAUAUACAUGUAUGUCAUAUACAUCAGACUGGGAAAGAUGUUUGUCUGCUACAACGUUCUGUGAAGACUGUCCACACAUGCUCACUGUACUCCUCUGUUCCCCCAGAGCCUGUGUGUGUGUGUGUGUGUGAGUCCUCCAGCUCCGAGACAGAAAAGAGGACAAGAAGCAGAGGACACGAACCAGACCCUCCCCUCUCACCCCUGCUCCCCAAAUAGCAGCAGCAGCAGCAGCAGCAGCAGCAGCAGCAGCAGCAGCAGCAGCAGCAGCAGCAGCAGCAGCAGCAGCAGCAGCAGCAGCAGCAGCAGUGUACAGUAGAAGAAGUCACCACGUUUACCAGGUAAACUCCCAUAUAUCCAGCUGCUAUUGUGCUGUUGUGUGGUUAGUGAGUGUCCACAUUUUGUCCACAGUGACGUCAUCUGUAACAAACAUGGACACUACUUGUUUGUGUGGUUGUGUGAGGUAUGGUCAGCAUUGACUCUGCUGAGGACACCACUUAAUAUGAUCGUCAACCUGCAUGCACGCUGAAGCUGAGGAAGAUAAAUGGAACCCAGCCAUCAGCGCCACUUAGCCUGUGACCUGUACAAAUAAGACCAUACCUCAUUCAACCACACUUUUGUGGCAUUGGAACUAUCCCUUUAAAGUGAGGACAUAUGAUAUAUGUGUUAAUAACUGAUAUAUGACACUAAACUGCUGCUAAAACAACAGUAAAUAACUGCAAAAUGAUGAUCUCCAGCCACAUGUAGAGAGGUGGCACUGUGUGCAGCUGACAGACACUGAUACUGUGGACGUGGGCAUCUUCCCUGUGGCCCACGGUGCAGUGCUGCAUCUCUGGUCAGUUGAUAGUCUGAGAUGAAGCACUGUAGCUCGGGACAGAGGACAGAAACACCACAUCUGAUCAUGUCUGAAGUCACGAGACAGCAUCCAGCAUCAGGUCCAGGUCUACCAUGUCAUCUAUCUGUCUGUCUGUCUGUCUGUCUGUCUGUCUGUCUGUCCAUCCAUAUCAUCAGCAUUCUUCUCCUCUCUCCUGGGGUCCAGUUUUCCCAGGAAUCCCUUGACCUAUCAGACAGGGGGAUUCCUGGAAAUACUGUUCUUAGGGGCGGGGCUUAUCAGCAAUGUUAUACCAUGUGAUCGUGUGUGUAACUGUUUCAGUCUCAUGUGAUGCUUCUGUUCUCCUCUGUACUGUUGUACCAUGACAACUGCUCUUUGAUCAAUAAACAAUCAAACACA